Molecule: long non-coding RNA, 3475 nt
Filed under: Homo sapiens (human)
Lineage: Eukaryota; Metazoa; Chordata; Mammalia; Primates; Hominidae
Description: HSALNT0317590
Source: RNAcentral
GUCACAGUUAUAUGUGUACCUGCCUUUUAAACAUACGUUUAUUUUAUUGUAAAAAAAUGCCAUUUUAAACAUUUUUAAACAAUAGUUAAAAGAAAAAGCUUUAUUCAAAUGCUCGCAGACCAUACAAUUCACCUACUAAAAGUGUGCGGUUGGCCGGGAGCGAUGGCUCACAGCUGUAAUCCCAGCGCUUUGGGAGGCGGAGGUGGGAGGAUCUCUUGAACCCAGGAGUUGAGGCCGGUCUGGGUAACAUAAAUUCAGUAAAAUGUUUAAAAGUGUGCAAUUUAAUGGUUUUUGGUAUAUUGCGUUAUUUUUAAAAUAUUGUCCAAAAUGUAUAUAACAAACUGACAUUUUAACCAUUUUUAAGUACAAUUCAAUAGCAUUAAUUACAUUCACAAUGUAACCAUCACCACUGUUUCCAGAACUUUUCAUCACCCCAGAUAAACUCUAACCGUGAGGCACUGACUCCCCAUUUCACCUUUCCCCCCAGCCUCGGCACCUUCUAUUCCACUUUCUGUCUCUAUGAAUCUGGCCAUUCUAGGUAUUUCAUAGAAGGGACUCAUGCAAUAUAGGAUCUUGUGUGUCUAGCUUAUUUCACUUAGCGUGUUUCUGAGGUUCAUGUACAGUGUGGCAUGGAUCAGUACUUCAUUUUUCGGGCUGAAUAAUAAUUUGUUUUACGGAUAUACUUGUUACAUUUUGUUUAUCCAUUGGCUGGACAUUGGUUUUUUUCACCUUUUCGUUAUUUGAAUACUGGCGAUACGAACAUUUAUGUACCAGUAUGUGUUUGAAUACCUGUGUUCAGUUCUUUUGUCUAUAUAUCUACGAGUGGAAUUGCUGGAUCCUAUGGUAAUUCUGUGUUUAGCUUUUUGAGGAACUGCCACAUUGAUUUCUACAGUGGCUGUACCAUUUUACAUUUCCAUUAGCAGAGUACGAAGUUUCCAGUUUCUUCACUUCCUCACCAACACUUGUUAUUUUCCGUGCCAUGCUAGUACAUGUGAACUGGUAUCUUAACUCUGUGUGUCAAAAAAUUGCGGGGCCGGGCGCGGCGGCUCACGCCUGUAAUCCCAGCACUUUGGGAGGCCGAGGCGGGCGGAUCACGAGGUCAGGAGAUCGAGACCAUCCUGGCUAACACGGUGAAACCCCCUCUCUACUAAAAAUACAAAAAAUUAGCCGGGCAUGUUGGCACGCGCCUGUAGUCCCAGCUACUCGGGAGGCUGAGGCCGGAGAAUGGCGUGAACCCGGGAGGCGGAGCUUGCAGUGAGCCGAGAUCACGCCACCGCACUCCAGCCUGGGAGACAGAGCGAGACUCCGUUUCAAAAAAAAAAAAUUGUGGUAAAAUAUAGCAAGAUUACCAUUUUAACCACUUAAAAAUGUUUUUGACUAGAAAGAAGGGAGGAAAAUUUUAACCGUUUGUAAUUGUAUGGUUCAGUGGCAUCGCCUCCGUUCACACUGCUGUGCAUCCGUCACCACCGUCCAUCUCCAGAACUUUUUAAUCCUCCCAAACUGAAUUUCCACACCCUUGAGGCUCACCGUUCCUCCCUCCUACUAUCCCCUGGCAACCACCGUUCUCCUUUCCAUUUCUGUGAACCCGACUGCUUCUAGGUACCUCCUGUAAGUGGAAUUUUCAUAGGUUUUGUCCUUUUGUGUCUGGCCUGUUUUACCUAGCGUAAUGUUUUCCAGGUUCAUCCAUACUGCAUGUGACAGCAUUCCCUUCUUUUCCAGGCUGAAUAAUGUUCCAGUGUAUGUAUAUGCUACAUUAAAAGAAAUCUGUUCCUCUGUCAGUGGACACUUGGCUUGCUUCCACUUCUCGGCUAUUAGAAAUAAUGCUGGUGUGAACUUGGGUGUACAAAUGUCUGUUCAGGGGCCUGUUUUCUAUUCUUUUGGGUGUAUACCUGGAAGUGGAAUUUCUAGAUCCUAUGGUAAUUCUAUGUGUGAUUGGUUUUGGAAACCGCCAUACUGUUUUCCACAGUGACUGUACCGUUUUACAUUCCCACCAACAGUGCGUGGGUGUCCAGUUUCUCUGCACCCUCGCCAACACUUGCUAUUUUCUGGGUUUUGAUAGUAGCCAUCCUGGUGAGUAUGAGGUGGUAUCCCAUUGUGGUUUUUAUUUGCAUGUCCCCAAUGACUAAGGAUGGCGAGCAUCUUUGCAUGCAUUUAUUGGCCAUUUGUAUAUCAUCUUCGGAAAAAUAUGAAAUAUCUAUUCAAAUCCUGUGCUCAUUCAUUCUUUUUGUUUCUGUUUUUCUCCCAAAACCCAGAAAAAGCCACAACUUUGCCUGUCAUUUAAUCAGGUUGUUUUUUUGAGUUGUGGGCAUUCUCCUGCCUCAGCCUCCUGAGUAGCUGGGAUUACAGGCAUGCGACACCACACCCAACUAAUUUUUGUAUUGUUAGUAGAGAUGGGGUUUUGCUGUGUUGGUCAGGAUGGUCUCAAUCUCUUGACCUCGUGAUCCACCUGUCUUGGCCUCCAAAAGUGCUGGGAUUACAAGCGUGAGCCACCGCGUCCGGGCUGUUUUAGUUUUUAUCCACCAUAGAUGAGUUUUUUCUGUUCUGGAACUUCAUAUAAAUGGAAUUCUUUUUAUUUCCUAGGGCUACUGUAACAAAGUACCACGAACUUAGCAGAAAUUUAUUCUCCCUCAGUUCUGAAGAGUAGAACUCCAAACCCAAGAUGCUAGCAGGGAGCAGGGACAUGUACAUUGAAGGCUCUGGGAGAGAAUCUGUUCCGUGCCCUUCUCCUUAGCUUCUGGUGUGGCUGGAAUCCAUGGUGUUCCUGGUUUGCAGCUGAGUCACUCCAGUCUCUGCCUCCAUUGGCACGUAGAGUUUCCCGGUGUGUCUGUCUUUACAUGGCCGUCUCCUCUGUGUCUCUCUCUUUUUUUUUUACCAGGACACUAGUUAUAUUGGAUUAAAGGCUCUGUACUCUUUGUAUGAACUCCAUUAUAUCUGUAACAACCUGUUUCCAGUUAAGACCACAUUCUUAGUUACUGGGAGUUAGGACUUAAGCAUAUCUUUUGGGGGGUUAUUCAGCAUAAGGUUCAAGAUUUAUUCUUUUUUUUUUUUUGAGACAGUCUUGUUCUGUCACCCAGUCUGGAAUGCAGUGACAGGAUCUCGGCUCACUGCAACCUCCGUCUCCUGGGUUCAAGUGAUUCUCCUGCCUCAGCCUCCUAAGUAGCUGGGAUUACAGGCACGCACCACCAUGCCUGGCUAAUUUUUGUAUUUUUAGUAGAGAUGGGGUUUCACCAUGUUGCCCAGCCUGGUGUCGAACUCCUGACCUCAGGUGAUCCACCCGCCUCGGCCUCCCAAAGUGCUGGGAUUACAGGCAUGAGCCACCGCGCCUGGCCUCAAGAUUUAUUCUUGUGUAGAUAUUCGUUUUUUAAGUAUUAUUCCACCAUUGACUAUGCUGUAUAUGAUUGGCCAUUCUCCACUGAUACAGUGCUUCAGUUGCUUGCAGUUUUGGAUAUUAUGAAUAAAGUUGCUGAGAAGGUUC